UAAGGUUAUGUACCAUAAGUUUCCUUCUUCCAGAGGUCAAAAUGUGUAAUUUGGGCAGGGUCAGUAACAUAUAGUCUUAUAAAAGAUGGAAGUUGUGAGAGGGAAUCACAUUUUGAAAGUAAAUUAAAACUGGAAAAUGAUCUUAGAAACAAAGUGAUAUGUACUUGUGAAUCAGUACUUUUCAAGGUGUUAGUUGUGCACGUUGUGAUUUCAUUAUUCAACCUGCCGUGAUAUAAACCUCAUCUCAAGCUAGCUGUUGUUUUCCUGCACUUUCCAUAAUCAAAGCCUGCUGAAAUUAAACUGGUGCAGAGUUAAUCAUGCAUGCUGACUGUUUUAGUUAUCGCUUCUUUUCAGAUCUGUACCAGUAGUGUCUAGGGAACGCAAACAGUAGUAGACCAAGAGCACCUGUAAUUAUUAUUGCAAAUUAGUAAAUUGACCUUGUCAGAAAAAAAUGGAGCAAAAGUUUCCCUGUUAAUUAAUUUUCUCAAAUGCUUUUUAAGUUUGUACAUAUAGUGUGGAGAUAGGCAAGGAAAAAGAAAAGGCAAGCACAGAAAAGAUGCACUUAAGGCAAUAAAUGAUGGGUUAUGUACUGUUACCAAUUUGGGAACUGCAUUUUUACUAGUACUAGGUCUGAGGACCACCACGAUAAUUAGGUGCCAGUGUUUUAUGGUAAUUAAAAUAGACUUAUGUCUUCGUGACAGUUUGCAAAUGAGGGUUUUUUGGUGGCAAAGACCUUGAGGUGUAUUGUUGUUUGAACUGGUUGAUCUUGGGGUAGAGCAGUUUCCUUUAUUUGCCUCUGGCUUGCAGAAUGCAACCCAGGUUUGCAAUUAGCAUCUGCAGGUAACACCUGUCCCGUGGGAAACAAACUUCCACUGCUGUGGGCCUCAACCAGCACAGCUAAAUGUAAGGGGACAAAAGCUUCGCAGCAAAAAGUGUCACCAGAUUGCGCUUCUGACCUGCUGUUCAGCUUCUGUUCUGCUUACAGAGCUACAUAUGGAGGGACUGCUGUUGUGCAGGACAGCUUGCAAGGUGUAAUCGCAAUGACCUCUAUGUUCUGGGGCAUCAGGGCAAUGGAAUUCUGGCUGGGCGAUGGAAAGGGCAAGAGUUGGUGCAUCUGGAAGGGAGAAAGAAGAAAAAGAGUGCUUCUUUCAUUCUUUAAAUCAAAGCCUGUGGUAACCAUGUGAUUUCAUCAGGAAAUUACUCUGCUACAGUCAGGAGGAAAUCUAGGGACAUUCCUUCCCAGAAGGUCCUGUGCUUGUGAAGGAUGAAGCAGUUGCUUCAUUUCACAAAGGUUCUUGCAUUUAACUUUCUGCUCUGCCUCCCUUUCCUCAUAGUAGUGAAUGCUGAAUUUCUGUCCCUGCCUUUCUGCCCUGCAGUUGUGCUGCCUCCUUGGCAUGACUAGGAAAGGGUAAGAUCACCGCAGCCCUGCCUGUAAGUUCUGUGGCAGAACCGAGACAAGGAGCUGCCGAGGUGGAUGUUGAAGCUGGUUUAUGCUUGCAGCAGAGUCCACUUCUUGGCAGAGAUUUCUAGUGCUUUGUCAAACUGUCUGGCUGCAUCAGUUAAUUACUUGUUCCAAAGUCAUAUCAGAGUGCUUAAAGAUCUCAAUGAGUUUGUUAAUUUGAUUCUUUGACUAGUUUAGGGGAACUUGGUUGUGCUGGGGUAGCACGAGAACAGUCUUGUAACGUACCUGCAGCACGCCUGCCUGCCAAAGAGGAGGAUAAUCAAUCAGUCCGUUGCCGCCACUAUUGAUGUAGUGUGAGAUGGUCUCUGACUUGAAAGAUGAAGAGGAAAUUAAGCGUAACACAGUGAUAAUGGAAUGAUCAAUGCUGCUUGCUGCAGACUUUGCCUCUGCACUGAAAAAGCAAGAUGUUUUGUGAAUGCUAGCUAGAGAUGUGUAAAUGAGACGGUAAGUCUUGCCCGUAAUACAAAGCUAACCAGAAGUGACUAAUAUAGCACUGUCAGCGUUGGUGCUUUACCAGCAAACCAAGAGACACAAGAAGAAUGAGAGGAUGUCCCAAACCUUCUGCUUCAAGAAGGCACAGAGAGUUGUGGUUGUUGUCAUGAAAUUCCUUUUUCUCGGUCUUUGAAUCAUGGUUCUGUUUUCUCUUAUCAUCACUGAGUGUAAAGAAGGAAUUAGUGGAGAAAUCAUUUUCUUCUAGCAGUUGUGUAGCCUGGGUUGUUAUC
Molecule: long non-coding RNA, 2184 nt
Organism: Anser cygnoides (Swan goose)
Lineage: Eukaryota; Metazoa; Chordata; Aves; Anseriformes; Anatidae
Source: Ensembl